AUUGAACGCUGGCGGCAGGCCUAACACAUGCAAGUCGAACGGUAACAGGAAGAAACUUGCUUCUUUGCUGUCGAGUGGCGGACGGGUGAGUAAUGUCUGGGAAACUGCCUGAUGAAGGGGGAUAACUACUGGAAACGGUAGCUAAUACCGCAUAACGUCGCAAGACCAAAGAGGGGGACCGUCGGGCCUCUUGCCAUCGGAUGGGCCCAGAUGGGAUUAGCUUGUUGGUGGGGUAACGGCUCACCAAGGCGACGAUCCUUAGCUGGUCUGAGAGGAUGACUCGACAGACUGGAAGUGAGACACGGUCGCGACUCCUACGGGAGGCCGCAGUGGGGAAUAUUGCACGAUGGGCGAAAGCCUGAUGCAGCCAUGCCGCGUGUAUGAAGAAGGACUUCGGGUUGUAAAGUACUUUCAGCGGGGAGGAAGGGAGUAAAGUUAAUACCUUUGCUCAUUGACGUUACCCGCAGAAGAAGCCCCGGCUAACUUCGUG
This 490-nucleotide ribosomal RNA is filed under the name uncultured bacterium. RNAcentral's name for it is "partial 16S ribosomal RNA". It matches the Rfam family "Bacterial small subunit ribosomal RNA", at positions 30 to 507 of the family's 1533-position model. The record is from RNAcentral.